This 212-nucleotide long non-coding RNA is filed under the name Mytilus galloprovincialis (Mediterranean mussel). The record is from RNAcentral. Lineage: Eukaryota; Metazoa; Mollusca; Bivalvia; Mytilida; Mytilidae.
AAAUUACAGUUACAAGUAUUACAAAACUUCCCUGACCUCUUUUCUUUAACCAUAAUAGAGGGAGGAGGGACGGAGGGAUCCAGAUCCCGAAAUCCCGGUGCUUAAAAACACGACAUCCCGAGGUCCUGAAUUUAAAAAAAUUUAAAUCCCGACUACCCGAAAUUCGGAAAUAGAAUUCCCGGAUCCCGAAAGGGUCAAUCCCGAAAUCCCGA